RNAcentral lists this transfer RNA (73 nucleotides) under Petrachloros mirabilis ULC683. It matches the Rfam family "tRNA". Rfam says of the family: Transfer RNA (tRNA) molecules are approximately 80 nucleotides in length. Their secondary structure includes four short double-helical elements and three loops (D, anti-codon, and T loops). Lineage: Bacteria; Bacillati; Cyanobacteriota; Cyanophyceae; Synechococcales; Petrachlorosaceae. The record is from Rfam by way of RNAcentral. RNAcentral also lists the same sequence under 1 other name.
GCGCUCGUAGCUCAGUGGAUAGAGCAGUUGCCUUCUAAGCAAUUGGUCGUAGGUUCGAUCCCUACCGAGCGCG